RNAcentral lists this ribosomal RNA (484 nucleotides) under uncultured Pseudomonadota bacterium. Its description in RNAcentral is "bacterial SSU rRNA". It matches the Rfam family "Bacterial small subunit ribosomal RNA", at positions 355 to 857 of the family's 1533-position model. Lineage: Bacteria; Pseudomonadati; Pseudomonadota. The record is from RNAcentral.
UGGGGAAUCUUGCGCAAUGGGCGAAAGCCUGACGCAGCCAUGCCGCGUGAAUGAUGAAGGUCUUAGGAUUGUAAAAUUCUUUCACCGGGGACGAUAAUGACGGUACCCGGAGAAGAAGCCCCGGCUAACUUCGUGCCAGCAGCCGCGGUAAUACGAAGGGGGCUAGCGUUGCUCGGAAUUACUGGGCGUAAAGGGAGCGUAGGCGGACAUUUAAGUCAGGGGUGAAAUCCCAGAGCUCAACUCUGGAACUGCCUUUGAUACUGGGUGUCUUGAGUGUGAGAGAGGUAUGUGGAACUCCGAGUGUAGAGGUGAAAUUCGUAGAUAUUCGGAAGAACACCAGUGGCGAAGGCGACAUACUGGCUCAUUACUGACGCUGAGGCUCGAAAGCGUGGGGAGCAAACAGGAUUAGAUACCCUGGUAGUCCACGCCGUAAACGAUGAUUGCUAGUUGUCGGGAUGCAUGCAUUUCGGUGACGCAGCUAACG